UGUCAAUUGCUCAACAAAAACAGAAGCAACUUCAACUUCUUCUGACAAAUCUAUAUUAUCUUCAUCAUGACUGAACUAUAAGCCACACAAUUACUAUGCACACAUUUGUAUUGUAACAAAUGCAUAUCAGACGCAAUUUUGAUGAAUUCCUAAGAUGUGUGACACCGAAAUCAAUCAGUUUAAACAAUAACAAGAUACCUAUCUGAGAAGGACAAAGUUAUUUAAACUCUGAAAGGCGAUACAGAUUCCACAUACAUAUAACCUACCUGUAACCUGUUCAAUUGUGUGUUUAUGUGUGUGUAUAGAAAGAAUGAUGAUUACAUAUUAUACAGGAAGGUAAAACCUCAAUGUGGCGGUAAAUCGAUUUUAAUUGGAUCUCGAUGGUCAAUCGGAAAUUUCAAAAUUACAUUGUUCAGAAGUUUUUGUCUAAUGUUACGUAUCUGUGUUAACCCAUCAACAAUAGAGAUUCACUUUGGGUAUUGUGAAAAGUGUGAAUAAAACCGACAACGUGGACUAUAUACCUAUAGAAUAUUAUAGGAAUCAAUUUAUUUUGAAUUUUAACCAAACUCACUCACACAUUUUAUAAAGCACUCGGCUUCAGGGAUGCUAGAAAUUCACAUA
Molecule: long non-coding RNA, 621 nt
Organism: Episyrphus balteatus (marmalade hoverfly)
Lineage: Eukaryota; Metazoa; Arthropoda; Insecta; Diptera; Syrphidae
Exons: 3
Source: RefSeq, a predicted model, not a curated record